CGAACGGGUGAGUAACGCGUGAGGAACCUGCCUCAAAGAGGGGGACAACAGUUGGAAACGACUGCUAAUACCGCAUAAGCCCACGGGUCGGCAUCGACCAGAGGGAAAAAGGAGCAAUCCGCUUUGAGAUGGUCUCGCGUCCGAUUAGCUAGUUGGUGAGGUAAUGGCCCACCAAGGCGACGAUCGGUAGCCGGACUGAGAGGUUGAACGGCCACAUUGGGACUGAGACACGGCCCAGACUCCUACGGGAGGCAGCAUG
Molecule: ribosomal RNA, 259 nt
Filed under: uncultured bacterium
Lineage: Bacteria
Description: partial 16S ribosomal RNA
Rfam family: Bacterial small subunit ribosomal RNA
Source: RNAcentral